GAGGGUCUAGCUCAGUGGUAGAGCACAUGCUUAGCACGCACGAGGUCCUGGGUUCCAUCCCCAGCACCUCCA
This 72-nucleotide transfer RNA is filed under the name Camelus bactrianus (Bactrian camel). It matches the Rfam family "tRNA". Rfam says of the family: Transfer RNA (tRNA) molecules are approximately 80 nucleotides in length. The record is from Rfam by way of RNAcentral. Lineage: Eukaryota; Metazoa; Chordata; Mammalia; Artiodactyla; Camelidae. RNAcentral also lists the same sequence under 2 other names.